This 660-nucleotide unclassified non-coding RNA is filed under the name Hevea brasiliensis (rubber tree). Lineage: Eukaryota; Viridiplantae; Streptophyta; Magnoliopsida; Malpighiales; Euphorbiaceae. The record is from RNAcentral.
AGGUGAGAUUCAUUUUUAUCCACUAAAAUAUACUAAAAGUAUAAUUAAUUAUAAUUAAAAUUUAAAUUUACACUUAAAGAUGAUUUAAUAUCGUUGAGUUAAAGCUUAUUGAUAAAAAAAAAAAGUUUAAUUACUUUUGUAACCAAAUUACCUAAAAUAAAAUAAAAUAAAAUGUUUGGUUUUUGAUGAGGUGAAUGCAUGCCAUAUAUUAUAUAGGAGUUUCAUCACGGCCAAAGUUACAUAUAUGUUCAACUUGAGAAGAUCCUUAUCCCAAGAGCUGCCCAAUGAUCAAUAGUUAUGGUUAUUAUGUUAAUUUACAUGGGAGAUAGUGUUAUGGUAGGAAUUCACAGCUUGGUAGCGAGUAAGAGCUUAUUAACUUUUUAUAAUCAUAUUAUAUUCUAUUAUUUUUAAUAAUUGUUGACUUUUUCUUAUAAUAAAUAUGUGUAACGAGUUAUAAUUAUUCCAAAUAGUUUGUGAUCUGUAUAUUGAUUAUUGGGCAGUGGAUAUUGACGACAUGGACAGAUGAUGAAUGCAAGUUGAUAAUGGAAAAUUGUUACAAGGCACUUCCUGUAGGAGGGAAACUAAUAGCUUGUGAGCCAGUGUUGCCAAAGGAUUCCGAUGACAGCCAUAGGACAAGAGCUCUCUUGGAAGGUGACAUAU